UAUGAGAGGAUGCUACCAGGCUAUUUAAAGGGACAGGAUGCUACCAGGCUAUUUAAAGUGACAGGAUGCUACCAGGCUAUUUAAAGGGACAGGAUGCUACCAGGCUAUUUAAAGUGACAGGAUGCUACCAGGCUAUUUAAAGUGACAGGAUGCUACCAGGCUAUUUAAAGUGACAGGAUGCUACCAGGCUAUUUAAAGUGACAGGAUCCUACCAGGCUAUUUAAAGUGAGAGGAUGCUACCAGGCUAUUUAAAGUGACAGGAUGCUACCAGGCUAUUUAAAGUGGCAGGAUGCUACCAGGCUAUUUAAAGUGACAGGAUGCUACCAGGCUAUUUAAAGUGGCAGGAUGCUACCAGGCUAUUUAAAGCGAGAGGAUGCUACCAGG
Molecule: long non-coding RNA, 384 nt
Filed under: Salmo salar (Atlantic salmon)
Lineage: Eukaryota; Metazoa; Chordata; Actinopteri; Salmoniformes; Salmonidae
Description: lncRNA (ENSSSAG00000106792.1)
Source: RNAcentral